ACGAACGCUGGCGGCGUGCUUAACACAUGCAAGUCUACGAGAAAGUUUCUUUCGGGAAGCAAGUAAAGUGGCGCACGGGUGAGUAACACGUAAGCAAUCUACCUUUAGGUUUGGAAUAACUCCGAGAAAUCGGGGCUAAUACCAGAUGAAGCAGCGAUACCGCAUGGUAAUGCUGUUAAAGUCUAUAUGGUGCCUAAAGACGAGCUUGCGUCUGAUUAGCUUGUUGGUAAGGUAAUGGCUUACCAAGGCAACGAUCAGUAGCUGGUCUGAGAGGAUGAUCAGCCACACUGGAACUGAGACACGGUCCAGACUCCUACGGGAGGCAGCAGUGAGGAAUAUUGGGCAAUGGGCGAAAGCCUGACCCAGCAACGCCGCGUGGAGGAUGAAUGUCGUAAGAUUGUAAACUCCUGUUAGAGGGGAAGAAUAAUCCCGAUCGACUCGGGACAUGACUGUACCCUCAGAGAAAGCUCCGGCUAACUACGUG
RNAcentral lists this ribosomal RNA (484 nucleotides) under uncultured bacterium. RNAcentral's name for it is "bacterial SSU rRNA". It matches the Rfam family "Bacterial small subunit ribosomal RNA", at positions 29 to 507 of the family's 1533-position model. The record is from RNAcentral.